GUUCGCGACGCGGGGUGCCCCGGAAUGUCCGGGGCUGAGAGCACACCCGUCGAACCUGAUCUAGUUCGAACUAGCGAAGGGACGUCAUGUUCUGCGACG
Molecule: regulatory RNA element, 99 nt
Organism: Streptosporangium subroseum
Lineage: Bacteria; Bacillati; Actinomycetota; Actinomycetes; Streptosporangiales; Streptosporangiaceae
Rfam family: TPP riboswitch aptamer (THI element)
About the family: Vitamin B(1) in its active form thiamin pyrophosphate (TPP) is an essential coenzyme that is synthesised by coupling of pyrimidine and thiazole moieties in bacteria.
Source: Rfam